UACGGGGGGGGGCGAGCGUUAUUCGUCGUUAUUGGGCGUAAAGGGUAUGUAGGUGGGUUUUAGCAUUUAUUUGGCCAAAUGACAGGGCAUAUUCUCUGGCAGUGCUAUUUAAAGAAAAGACCUCGAGAUAGUGGCAGGUUAGAAGAAUUACUAAAGUAGGGGUAAAAUGUGCUGAUCUUAGUACGAAUACCGCACGCGCAGGCAUCUUUUCUCCACUAUCUGACACUGAGAUACGAAAGCAUGGGGAUCAAACAGG
Molecule: ribosomal RNA, 256 nt
Filed under: uncultured bacterium
Lineage: Bacteria
Description: partial 16S ribosomal RNA
Rfam family: Bacterial small subunit ribosomal RNA
Source: RNAcentral